This 72-nucleotide transfer RNA is filed under the name bacterium. Its description in RNAcentral is "tRNA-Cys". It matches the Rfam family "tRNA". From Rfam's summary of the family: Transfer RNA (tRNA) molecules are approximately 80 nucleotides in length. Their secondary structure includes four short double-helical elements and three loops (D, anti-codon, and T loops). RNAcentral also lists the same sequence under 2 other names. The record is from RNAcentral.
GGCGGCGUGGCCAAGUGGUAAGGCGAAGGUCUGCAAAACCUUUAUUCACCGGUUCGAUUCCGGUCGCCGCCU